AAUAGUCCUGUAUGUUAAACGAGAAGACUUUAGAUAUGAUCCAGAGUACCACGGGACACGUGAAACCCUGUGGGAAGCAGGAGGGACCACCCUCCAAGGCUAAAUACUACCUAGUGACCGAUAGCGUAUAGUACCGUGAGGGAAAGGUGAAAAGAACCCCGGGAGGGGAGUGAAAUAGAACCUGAAACCCUGCACUUACAAGCUGUGGAAGCACAUUUCUUGUGUGACCGCGUACUUUUUGUAGAACGGGCCAACGAGUUACGUUAAGUAGCAAGGUUAAGCACUUAAGGUGCGGAGCCGUAGCGAAAGCGAGUUUUAACUGAGCGUUCAGUUACUUGACGUAGACCCGAAACCGGGCGACCUACCCAUGAGCAGGAUGAAGCGAAAGUAAAAUUUCGUGGAGGUCCGAACCCACGAGCGUUGAAAAGCUCGGGGAUGACUUGUGGGUAGCGGUGAAAUUCCAAUCGAGCCCGGAGAUAGCUGGUUCUCCCCGAAAUAGCUUUAGGGCUAGCCUCAAGGUGAGAGAUACGGAGGUAGAGCACUGAAUGUCCUAGGGGGUAUUGCACCUACCGAAGACUAUCAAACUCCGAAUGCCGUCAUCUUAUACUUGGGAGUCAGACUGUGGGUGAUAAGAUUCAUAGUCGAAAGGGCAACAGCCCAGAUCGUCAGCUAAGGUCCCUAAAUGUAAGUUAAGUGGUAAAGGAUGUGGGAUUGCACAGACAACCAGGAUGUUGGCUUAGAAGCAGCCACUCAUUCAAAGAGUGCGUAAUAGCUCACUGGUCGAGUGAUCCUGCGCCGAAGAUUUCCGGGGCUAAAACUUACUACCGAAGCUACGGCAUCAGUAAUGAUGGGUAGGGGAGCUUCCCAUACGGGUUGAAGCAUGACCGUAAGGACAUGUGGACAGUAUGGGAGUGAGAAUGUUGGCAUGAGUAGCGAGAUGUGGGUGAGAAUCCCACAGGCCGUAAACCCAAGGUUUCCAGGGGAAGGUUCGUCCGCCCUGGGUUAGUCGGGACCUAAGCUGAGGCCGAAAGGCGUAGGUGAUGGACAACAGGUUGAUAUUCCUGUACUACCGAUAACCGUUUGAGAGAAGGGAUGACACAGUAGGAUAAGCUAAGCACACUGUUGGUUAUGUGUGCCCAAGCAUUGAGGCAGUCAAAGUAGGCAAA
RNAcentral lists this ribosomal RNA (1166 nucleotides) under Clostridioides difficile. RNAcentral describes it as "partial 23S ribosomal RNA". It matches the Rfam family "Bacterial large subunit ribosomal RNA", at positions 366 to 1540 of the family's 2925-position model. Lineage: Bacteria; Bacillati; Bacillota; Clostridia; Peptostreptococcales; Peptostreptococcaceae. The record is from RNAcentral.